This 105-nucleotide ribosomal RNA is filed under the name Tenacibaculum maritimum. Lineage: Bacteria; Pseudomonadati; Bacteroidota; Flavobacteriia; Flavobacteriales; Flavobacteriaceae. The record is from RNAcentral.
AGGUGAUUAUAGCGAUGGGGCUCACCUCUUACCAUUCCGAACAGAGAAGUUAAGCCCAUUAGCGCCGAUGGUACUGCCACAGGUGGGAGAGUAGGUCGUUGCCUU